AGUUUAGAAAGUACAGAUACAAAAUGUCUGUAGAUAUCAGCAACAAUCAUUUGGUACUUUAAGUAGCAAGUGUGAGAGACAGAACCAUAAUGGUUUCCAUGAAUGGAAGUAAUGGAGACAUGUCCAUUGACCUGUGGAGCCUGCUGGCGGCAAGUGAUUCUGCCUUUGCAACCAUUGCAGACCAAGAUGUUUAGGCUGAUCAUGGUCUACACUGUUCGCUCUUCAGUUAGUAAAUUUCCAGUGAACACCCCUUCGAAUAAUAAAUGGUAUUGCCCUAAUUGAAUGAUGGACCAGUCCAAUUUAGAAAUUUAGCAGGACAGCUCAUGCAGAUCAGAGAUUCACAUACUGAAAGAGAUGAAGAACUUUGGCCAUGGACUGCAGUCUGCACUGAUGGGAACAGACAGGCAGUUGGCUCCUAUGGAAUAUUUGUCCUUACAGAUUAUCUGACAUACUUUUUGACUGGAGACAGAAAUAGUGACUGUAAAGAGACAUUCUGUAUCCAUGGUGACAGUGGUCAGAUUCAGCUGCAGAUCUCUCCUUAACAACGGUACUGUCUACUACUGUGUGCGGAGUGAAUGUUAAUGAUAAUGGUUACCACACCAAUAAUAUUGCAGCAGUCAAUGUUAACAUCUUUAUCACAUGUGACCUUGCUAUGCCUGUGUUUACCAGUAACGUAUGAUGGUGACGAUCAAGGAUGAAGAAAUCAAUAACAGUAUCAUCAAGGUUACUGCUAUACGACACAGACGUAUUGUGAGCUGUAAUGCAGGACUUACACCAGAUGUCCAUACUGUCAAAUAUGCUGAAAUAAGCACGAAAUGGAGACAACAAUGCCAAGAUAAAUCAGUAUUACCAGCCACAAGCACUGACACUUGAAUACCAAAAAAAUACUGGCUGAAUAACGAACAGUGCAGAUCAUGAUCAGACUGCACGGAAGGCAGAAUCAGUCGUGUCCAUGAUGACACUAAACCAGCUGGCAAAAACAGAAUAUGGUCAGUGAGAUAAAGCAGGAAGGAAAGAGCAGCUCACCAGUAAUUGAUGUCAUAAAAAAUUAGCUUCUGAGUUGGGUUGCUGAGCCCACAAACAGCGGCAGAAGUACUACAGCAUACAAACAGUAUGAACACCACGGCAGGCCCGCACACACAAGACAAGGGUGGUCCUCUCUAACAAUGAUCUGAGAAUCACCUCAAGACAGGAGGAUAUCUUUGAGGAGUUGUUACAGCGACAGUUGGAUGCAGUCCAGAGAUCUAGACAGUUGUAUGCAGUCAGAUUUUGACAGUUGUAUACAGUCAGAUCUCGACAGUUGUAUGCAGUCAGAUCUCAACAGUUGUAUGCAGUCAGGAGAUCUAGACAGUUGUUUGCAGUCAUAUCUUGACAGUUGUAUGCAGUCCGGAGAUCUCGACAGUUUAUAUGCAGUCAGGAGAUCUCGACAGUUGUAUGCAGCCCUGGGAUCACAGCAGUAGUAUGCAGUCCGGGGAUCUUGACAGCUGUAUGCAGUCCGGAGAUAUUGACAGUUGUAUGCAGUCAGGAGAUCUCAGUUCUUUCUGUACUGAUGGCAUUCUCAAGAUUCAGUCUCAAAUAGAAAUAACUUGGACUGCUUAAAAGCUUCUCUAUAACUUGCAGAUGUGCAGCCUGCGACAUUCUUAUGUAGAAGACAUGUGUGUGAAAUACAAUGAAUAUGAACUGUCACUGUUCAAAUUUGAAAUGUUUCAAGAAAUGUUUUUAUCACAGUGAGACUGAAAAUAAGAAAUCAUAAGGAAGUAAGCUAUGGACAUUUGAACAAAGACCAGUGACUUUUUGGUUUGGCACAGUCAAAAAUAAUGAUGGACCACAAACUGGACACCCAGAAAACUGGAAUAAUGUUGUUUGAAUAAAUGUUGUUUUUUUUAUUUGUAAAAAAAUACCUUGCAUGUCCUGUCUUAAAAAUUUUGGUAGUUGUUUUUACCAAAGGCCCUUUAAUUGACUUGGGUAUUACUUAAAUUUCAUAUUGUUUGAUUGCUUUACAUAAAUUUUAAACUGAUCAAUGUAUUGUGAAAAUGAUGCACUUGGGCUUACUAUAGGGAAUUUACCUUUGUCAGUCUUCGAAUUUUUGUAUGUCAGUCUUUGAAUUUUGUUUGUGUCAGUCUUUGAAUUUUUGUAAUGUUGCACAUGUUUUGCAGUUCUCAUGAGAUGUAGUUAACAACUGACAGUCGUUAUAUGUAUAGAGGCUUGUUUUGUGUCGAAAUAUAAUCUAAUUAUAUUCUUUCUUCAGUACAUAUUUUGAGUUAAUAUGAAUAGAACUGUAUAGACAGCAAAAAGUAUUGAUUGGCACCUUUGAUUUUUGUGAGUCUGCUUUGAAAAAUCACAAUACCUCAUCAUUCCUAACAGUCUGAUGUAACAUCAUAGUUUUUAAAGAAUUUACUGUGUAAAGAAAUUUAGAUUUUGACACAAGAUCAAACAUUUGUGAAAGUACCGAUAUUGUCAUGUAUUGAGCUGUAUAUAUAUGUAUUAUACUGGAUCAACCAUUCAUGUACAAUCAGAAUAACUAUUUAAGGAGCUCACAUGGAUGAAAUUCCAUGACCGAAUUGACUACAAAAAAGCAAUUUUGUUAAAUCUUUAAAUGGGUUGAACCCUGAUUAUCUUAAAGUUUACAUACUGUCAAAAUUAGUU
Molecule: RNA transcript, 2646 nt
Organism: Mercenaria mercenaria
Lineage: Eukaryota; Metazoa; Mollusca; Bivalvia; Venerida; Veneridae
Exons: 9
Source: RefSeq, a predicted model, not a curated record